AUGGAUGUAGGGCAUGCUACGAGGCGAAUCUGCAAAUUUUCAUUUGAAAGCAUUGUUGUCCUGAAAAGCUUUUGUAUAGUUUUUCUUCUGGAUGAAAAUUUACUAGCCUUUGUCGCCAGGGUUGAUACACUUCCUUGGAUCUUCCCAUCUCUGGCCGGUUGGGUGGCUGCUGUCUUGGCGGUUCGGUUUGGUUUGGCUCUGUGGCCGUCUUUUCUUUGCGUUUAUGCUUCAUUCAAGCAUGUUUGUCUCUCCUGGUGUUGCUCGUGGUUCUGCCUGGUGCUGCAGGUGCUGCAGGUCCUGCCAUGGAUAGUUGCCGCUCCAUGCCAGUCAGUGCUUGCCUUUCAUGCUCCACUCUGGGGUUGCUUGGGUUCAUCUCUGGUUGUGGGUGGUACGCGUCGUUCUUGUUUGUUUGUUCGUGGUGAUGAGGUUUUGGUUGUGCCAUCAGUGGCGUUGCAGUGGUAUUAUUUCAUCUGUAGCGUCGUAAUGGUGGUGCUGUCUUUGGUGUUGUAA
This 510-nucleotide ribosomal RNA is filed under the name Triticum aestivum (bread wheat). Its description in RNAcentral is "partial small subunit ribosomal RNA". The record is from RNAcentral. Lineage: Eukaryota; Viridiplantae; Streptophyta; Magnoliopsida; Poales; Poaceae.